RNAcentral lists this long non-coding RNA (38200 nucleotides) under Triticum aestivum (bread wheat). RNAcentral's name for it is "long non-coding RNA (TAES_LNC018159)". Lineage: Eukaryota; Viridiplantae; Streptophyta; Magnoliopsida; Poales; Poaceae. The record is from RNAcentral.
AUCUGGUGUCCAUAGGUUCCACAAAAGGGUACAGUUAAGUUGAUCAGGAAUGAUGAGGUUAGUAAAGGAGGCCUUAAGUUCGGGUUUGGAAGAACUAGCACAGCAACAAGCUCACAUACUAGGUGGUUAUUUCUGGGUAUUCUUUUCACUCCAGAUUGGAGUUGGUGUAAUUUGGCCCGCCAUUACAAUUUGUAUACAAAAAACUGAGUGAGCUCUUUUACGGUGAUUGGGGAGUUACAUCUUGUAAUUUGAUGUAACUCCUCCCUUAAUUAUUCUCCACCGUUGAUUAUAACUUGUUAACUAAAAAAGUUAAAUUUAAUCAACAAGGGUAUUAUGGUCAUGUGUAAUUGUUUUUUUAGUAACUCUGUCAAUUCGCUGGUCAAUCCCCUGCAUCUGGCUAGACGGUUGCGCAGGAGCGACGACCUUGGCGACCAGGCCGGCGCAACAUCCAUUAGGCCCACGCCACCNNNNNNNNNNNNNNNNNNNNNNNNNNNNNNNNNNNNNNNNNNNNNNNNNNNNNNNNNNNNNNNNNNNNNNNNNNNNNNNNNNNNNNNNNNNNNNNNNNNNNNNNNNNNNNNNNNNNNNNNNNNNNNNNNNNNNNNNNNNNNNNNNNNNNNNNNNNNNNNNNNNNNNNNNNNNNNNNNNNNNNNNNNNNNNNNNNNNNNNNNNNNNNNNNNNNNNNNNNNNNNNNNNNNNNNNNNNNNNNNNNNNNNNNNNNNNNNNNNNNNNNNNNNNNNNNNNNNNNNNNNNNNNNNNNNNNNNNNNNNNNNNNNNNCGCGGUCGGUCGUAGUGUUCCAUCGCCCUGAGCAGCGCCUCCUGCCGCCGAUAAGCCGACCAGCAACGCCGGCGACCAGUCCAUAGGCACGUAGCCGCCACUCCUGCCUUCCACCUCCCUGUUCCCUCAACCCCCGGCUGAAUCUGAAUCUAUUUGCUCUAUUAGCUCUGCUCUUUCUGAAUCUCUUUGAUCUGAAUUACUACCACAGUGUUGGGGCAGGUAUUCCAAAUUCUGAAUCUCUUUCUGUGGAGAACUGACAAUAUAUGUUCUUCCAAUAUGUGUAGGUGUAGUUUACAGUGGAAUGGGUCCGAUCUCUUUGCACUUUCUGAAUUUGUUGCUAUGUUCUGAAAUCACUUAUAUAAAAAUCAACAAGUUUCUGAAUUAAUGUUCAAAAAAUCAUCUAGUUUCUGAAAAUCAACAAGUCAUGAGAUGUUGUACAGCAGCUUUGUACAACAGCUUUUUCUUUCUUCAUAUGAACAAAAACUAUAAUCAUAAAAGGCAUGAGAUGUUGGACAUUUUUUAACUUAUUCUGAACCUCUUAUCUUGAGGGGAAUAUGUGAGCAUGGAAAUUACUUUACAUCCAGUACAUGAUUGAGACCAGUUGAUCAUUUAUAUGUCAUAUGCAGGAAGUCAUGGCCGAUGUAAGUGCAGAGUGUAUGGCUGAGUACGACGGCAUUGUCAGCAGGAUGUUUGAUAGCGAGGAAGAGGGUUUUGAGUUCUAUAACAAGUAUGCUCUUGAGAAAGGCUUUAGUGUGAGGAAAGGAUAUGUUGAGUGGGAUGAAGCGAACGAGAAGAUAAUUCUGAGGAAACUUGUCUGUAGUCGUGAAGGUUGCCGUGAAGAGAAACACAUGAAGAGGAAGAGAGAAGAUAGGAAGAGGAAGCCACGGAAUAUCACUCGUGUGGGGUGUAAAGCGAAAUUUGUCAUUGCAAGAGUCGUGAAAACAGGGCGGUGGUUUGUGAAAGAUUUCAUCGAUGAACACAACCAUCCUCUGGCCCCACGAGACCUUUCUUGCUUUCUGCGUUCCCACAGAAGAAUCAGCGACGAGAAGAAAGCGGACAUUAUAGAGAUGGAAAGUGUUGGAAUCAAGAAACACAAAAUCAUGGAUGUGUUGUGCAUGCAGUACGGUGGAUAUGACCAUGUUGGAUGCACGACGAGGGACAUCUAUAACUUCUGCCAUCGCUACAAGCAGGAAACGGUCGCUGCCGGUGAUGCUCAGACGGUGAUCCGUCACAUGAUGGCGCGGCAAGAGAGAGACCCAGAUUAUUUCUUCAAAUACUUGGUUGAUAAAGCUGGGCAUCUGAAGGGAUUGUUCUGGUCCGAUACUUAAUCCCGCCUUGAUUACGAGGCUUUCGGUGAUGUUGUUGUUUUUGAUAGCGCAUAUAGGACCAAUAAGUACAAUCUUCCGUUUGUGCCGUUUGUCGGGUUGAAUCACCACCGCAUCACUGUUAUCUUUGGAUGCGGGAUCAUUUUUCAUGAAACUAACGAGGCGUACGAGUGGAUGUUGCGGACAUUUUCUGAAGCCAUGUCGCAGAAGCAUCCGAUAUCUGUAAUCACCGACGGGGACCUUGCAAUGCAGAGAGCGAUCAGGGUGGUGUGGCCUGACUCAUACCACAGGCUAUGUGUAUGGCACAUUCAGCAGAACAUUGUACGCCAUCUGCAUGACGACGAGGUUAGGGAAGAAUUCAGAUCUUUCAUAUAUGACUCGUCUUCUAUUGAAGAGCACGAGAGAAAAUGGAUAGAGUUCUUAUGAAGGAAUGGAGUUACAAGUGAGGAGUCGUGGCUGCAUCAGAUGUAUCAGAUGAGGAAGCUGUGGUGUGCUCCAUACCUGGUGGGGCGUUGUUUCUUAGGAUUGAGCAGCAAUCAGCGUAGUGAGAGCCUCAACUCGGUGCUACAUACACAUCUUGAGGGUAAGAUGACAUUGUUUGAUAUGCUAGAGCACUAUGAGCGUUGCCUUUCGGGACGACGCUUGAAUGAGGCGAUCCUAGACAUCGUGGCCUUACAGUCCGUUGUAAGGGCAUUUGUAUCCCUUAGAUGUUUUGGUGAUUGAUAACAAUGCUUUUGCGGACUAAUCGUGUGCAUUGAGUUUUUCAGAGAUUCAUCCUUUGGCACGAGACGAUUCCCUCCCCUCGGAGUUUGAAGCGAAGACGGUGUAGUACUUUCGAAUUAGUUUGGUGGACUAGUUUCGUAGGGAUCACCGUACUAUCAAGAGGAGGUCCGCUUUGGAAAGGCUAGGGUGGAAUUAUCACGUACACUUCCUUUGCACACCCUUCGAGCCUUUCCGCUUCGUUGAUGAGCUCGUUCCCCUCUCUCAGUGUGCCCUCUCUGGUCCCAGUGGUAGUACCGUGGGCCGGAGCGGUAGUACCGCUUGGGUGCUACAAGCGGCAGUAUCGCUCCACAGCGGUAGUACCGCUGUAGCCCCCCAGCCGUAGUACCGCUGCGGCUUCGUGCUAGUACCGCCUCAAUUCGAGGGGUCUUUUUCCGUGUCGGGUUUUACGGUACUAGCUGCGGCAGUGGGGGCGGUAGUACCGCUCGUGUGCGGUAGUACCGCCCUGACCACCGCGGUAGUACCGCUCUGGGCCCAGCGGCAGUAUCGCGAGGGGGAGCGGUAGUACCGCUGGCCAAGCGGUAGUACCGCUCUCUGCGGGGCUGAAGUGGGGGGUAACGGUUGGAUUGCUCCCCCCACUAUAAAAGGGGGUCUUCUUCCCCAAAGUUGACCUACCUCUUCCCCCAAAAGAUCCAUUGUUGCUCCAAGCUCCAUUUUCGCCCGAUCUCUCUCCCUAGCCAAUCAAACUUGUUGAUUUGCUCGGGAUUGGUUGAGAAGGCCCCGAUCUACACUUCCACCAAGAGAAAUUUUGAUUCCCCCCACUAAUCCCUAGCGGAUCUUGUUACUCUUGGGUGUGUGAGCACCCUAGACGGUUGAGGUCACCGCGGAGCCAUAGUCCAUUGUGGUGAAGCUUCGUGGUGUUGUUGGGAGCCUCCAAUUAAGUUAUGGAGAUUGCCCCAACCUUGUUUGUAAAGGUUCGGUCGCCGCCUUCAAGGGCACCAAUAGUGGAAUCACGACAUCUCGCAUUGUGUGAGGGCGUGAGGAGAAUACGGUGGCCCUAGUGGCUUCUUGGGGAGCAUUGUGCCUCCACACCACUCUAACGGAGACGUACUUCCCCUCAAAAGGAAGGAACUUUGGUAACACAUCCUUGUCUCCACCGGCUCCACUCUUGGUUAUUUCUUACCUUUACUUGUGCACGCUUAUAUUGUGUUGUAUCCCUUUCUUGCUUGUGCGCUUGUUGUUGUUGCAUCAUAUAGGUUGCUCACCUAGUUGCAUAUCUAGACAACCUACUUUGAUGCAAAGUUUAAAUUGGUAAAGAAAAGCUAAAAAUUGUUAGUUGCCGAUUCACCCCCCUCUAGUCAACUAUAUCGAUCCUUUCAAUUGGUAUCAGAGCCUCGUCUCUUUAUUAAGGACUUUACCGUCCGAAGAGUAUGGUUGACGUCGUAGACGGUGUGGAGGAGCACUCCGGUGUGGAUCCGGUCUCGUCUACGGGAGAUGGGGGUACCGCGGUCUCUUGUGAGGAAUUCAAUGUGGCGUUGGACACAUGAAAACCUCCAUGACGACCGUGGUCGAAAGCAUGUUUAAUAAAUUCUUAGAAGGGCUUAAACUUUCCACCGACCGUUGAAAGUGGGUGAUCCCGCUAACAAGGUGACGGAUGCUACCUCCGACAAGGGGGAAGCUACUAGCGAGAAAGCUCCUUCUUCUAGUGGUAAAAAUGGGACCAGCAUCUUUGCCCAUGUGGAACCUCCACCUGUCUAUGGUGGACCGCUCCCUUCCACUCAUUUGAAUCAUGCCGGCCCGGCCCCUAAGAUUGAGAAGAAUGUAGAUUUUGAUUCUUGGGUCUAUCGUUUUAAGCGUCAUUUAAAUCAUGUGAACACUAACCUUUGGAGAAUCAUUGAAGAAGGUUUUUAUCCGCAUGACCGAAGUAACUUCACUCCUAGAGAAGUUGUGGAUCAUCAAUUCAAUGAGAAUGUUCUCUUCAUCAUCCAAGAAGCAAUCCCACCCGAAGAUCUUCCUCAUCUCCGGCCCUACACCGUGGCCAAAGAUGCUUGGCUCCAAGUUGUUUCCCUCUAUCGGGGAAGCGCAAGCAUUGAACGCUCCAACUAUGAAGUGGUGCAAGAUGAAGCCGAUGAGUUUGCAAUGAAACAAGAUGAAGAACCUCGUGAGCUUUUUCGGAGAGUAACCAAACUCGCGGUCUCUCUCCGAGAUCAUGGAAGUAAAGACACGGAUGACAAUUGGAUCAAGCGCAAAUUCCUCAAGGCAAUGAUGCCCUACCACAAAGCCAUGUCCUCCGUCAUUCGUCAAAGGCCGGACUUCCACACCUUGUCCUCAAGUGAAGUGUUGGAUGAGUUCGUUGCUAUGAGCAUCUUGGACAAGACCGCCGACAAUGCGGUUCUUCACUCUCAAAGAGUAAAGAAGCCCAACCUUGCUCUAAAGGCCAAGGUUAGUAUGGAGGAAGAGGAUGAAGAGGAACAAGAGGAGGGCAACCUUGAAGAUACGAAGUAUGCCUAUCAUGAACACAUGGCUCUUGCUUCAAGGCAAUUUUGGAGCAAGAAGAACUCAAGGCCAAACUUCAACAAGAACAAUUCAAGUGGCGCAAAGGGCAAGCAACGGGUGAGGACUUGCUUCAAUUGUGGCAAUGUGAGCCACUUUGUUGUGGAGUGCCCUUACGAGAAGAGGGAAGACAAUGGUGGCAAGCUCAUCCGAAAGGACAAGGCCAAGUCGUUCCCCAACAAGAGCAACUUCACCAAGAAGACUCCUCCCAAGGCAUUAGUCGUACAAGAAGAGUGCAACGAGGAUGAUGACGAUGAUGAAGAUGGUGAGUCGAUUGCCAUGGCCUCUGUGGCCAUUGCGAUGACUCCACGGAUGUCUCUCUUCGACUCACCCAAUGAGAACAUCGCCGCCAAGUGCCUCAUGGCUAAAGCCACCAACAAGAUAACCCCCAACAUCAAAACUACCAUCAUUAAUCAUCCUUCUUCGACGGGUGUCAUUGAUGAACAUGAGGGGACAAAUAUGGAGGAAAAUGAGUUUGAGACCUUUAUGGGUAAACUCAAGGGUAAAUCCAAGAAGCACUUCGUUGCUCUCUUGGAACAACUUGGUGAAGCCAAUGACAUGAUCGAGGCUCACGAAGACACCAUCUCUAAGAUGGAGGGGCAUAGUCGUGACUAUGCCGAUGAGAUUUCGGAUCUUUCCAAUGCUCUUGACGAAGAGCGUGGUCUUCGUUUGGCUCUUGAGGAGUCAUACAACGAUGAUCAUGCUAAGUUAAAGAAAGAUCUCGAUCAUGCUCUUGUUGUGUCUCGUGUGCUAAACUCCGAGAAGGCAAAGCUUGGGGUUGAUCUUGCUAGACUCAAAGAGGAGUUUGACAUUCUUGACAAGGCUCACAAAGUCUUGAAGGGUGUUCAUACUAGCCUCAAGGAGUCUCAUGAUCAACUCCAAGUGAAGCUAACUAAGGAUAAAUCCACCUUUCCUCAUAUGGUGUUAGUUGAUAAUGCAAGUGCUACUAAUCCUUGUUGUGAGCAUGCGCAUCUUGUUGAGGAAAACGCUAAGUUGAAGGAGCAACUUGAGAAAGGCCUUGUGUCAUGCAUACAAGGCGAGAAGAACCUCAACGACCUUUUGAGCAAUCAAAAGGAAGUUGUGGCCAAGGAGGGGAUUGGGUUCGCACCCAAGCCCAAGAACAAGAAGAAGAAUGACAAGACCAAACGACCUCCUCCUCUCAAGCAAACUUUUGUGAAGGAGGGAGAGGGUGCUUCCAAGGAGAAGAAGAACAAUGCGAAGGGUGGCGGUGUCAAGAAGGGCAAUGCCACCCCUUCCAACAAAGCCGGCGACUUUAAUCCUUCUUAUGUGCUAUGUCGUGCUAGUGAUGGGCAUGUUUAUGCCAAAUUUGUUGGUUCUCCUCAUGAGUAUAUUGAAUGGUCUAUUUGGGUUCCUAAGACCCUUGUUACUAACAUCAAAGGACCCAUUACAAAAUGGGUACCUAAAACCAAGCAUUGAUCUCUUUUAGGUGUUUGCUUCCGGUGGGGGAUCAUGGUUGCUCGAUAGUGGAGCUACAAAUCAUAUGACCGGAAGCAAAGACUUGGUGGUGGACGUGCACAAGAUUCCAUCUAUGCCCACCAAUGUCGAGUGGGGUGAUGCCUCGUCUUCUAAGGUAUUGGGACUCGGCAAAGUUGUCAUUUCUCAUGAUCUCACGAUCGAGAAGGUCAUGCUAGUUGAGUCCCUUGCAUACAAUUUACUUUCCGUUCGUCAACUUGCUAUCAUGGGCUUUGCCACUUUCUUUGAUAUUGAUACCGUGGCCCUCUUGUGGAGCAAGACUCUUAAAGUAGCCUUUGUUGGGCAUGUCGAAAACGGUCUCUAUGUGAUUAACUUUUCGGAGCGACCCACUAGGACCGCGACAUUCCUAAUGGCUAAAGUUGACGUGGGAUGGCUUUGGCAUCGCCGGUUAGCCCAUGUCAAUAUGAGAUCUUUGCAAAGUCUUCUCAAGGGGGACCAUGUCCGUGGACUAACGAAUGUUAGUUUUGCUAAAGAUCGUGCUUGCAGUGCUUGUAUCGAAGGAAAGCUACAUGAGACGGCUCACCCUCCCACAACUAUCAUUUACUCGAAAAGGCCUUUGGAGCUCCUUCAUUUGGAUCUCUUUGGGCCUCCAUCCUUUGAUAGUCUUGGGGGUAGGAAGUAUUGCUUGGUGAUUUUGGAUGACUAUUCAAGAUACACUUGGGUGUACUUCUUCAAGAGGAAGAGCGAGACCCAACAAACCGUCAUUGACUUUGCGAAUGAAGCCCAACGUCAACACAAUACAAAGAUCUUGACAAUAAGGAGUGACAACGGCACCGAGUUCAAGAACUACACCUUGGAUGAGUUCCUUAGUGAUGAAGGGAUCAAGCAUCAAUAUUCCGCACCUUACACCCCUCAACAAAAUGGUGUUGCGGAGAGGAAGAACCGGACGUUGAUGGAUGCGGCAAGGACCAUGAUGGCGGAGUUCAAGUCUCUAUACAACUUUUGGGCUAAAGCCAUCAACACCGCGUGUCAUGCUUCAAAUCAGCUCUAUCUCCGCAAAGGCUUGAACAAGACUCCAUAUGAGAUACUCACCGGUAACAAGCCCAACCUCAAGUACUUUCGGGUGUUCGGGUGUAAGUGUUUCAUUCUCAAGAAAGGUGUUCGUUUGUCUAAAUUUGAGGCUAGAGCUCAUGAGGGCAUAUUUGUUGGUUAUGCUACAAACUCCCAUGCUUACCGUGUUCUCAAUAAGUCCACAUGACUUAUUGAGGAGACGUGUAACGUGGAGUUUGAUGAGAAUAACGGCUCCCAAGUGGAGCAAAGUGGUACUUGUGACGUAGGUGAUGAAAUUCCUCCCCAAGCUAUAAGAAGAAUGGGUGUUGGUUAUAUCCUACCCAUUGAGGAACCCCUUGUGGCCGAAGGAGAAGGACAAUGCUCCACUCAAGUGGAGCCAUCACCAACCCAAGACUCACACGCUUCCGAAGAACAAAGUGACGGCCCUCAACCCCAUGAACAAGAUCAAGGGCAAGAUCAACCUCAAGAUGGUGGUGAUCCACCAAAUGAUGCCCAAGGUCGAGUUCUCCCCCUCGAGCAUGUUCAAGAUCACGAGCAAGCUCUAGAUCAAGAACAAGCUCAAGACGACGCUCAAGAUGAUCAAGUAACCCCUCCUCGUUUCACUUCCGAGGAGGAAUUGGAGCGUCGUGCAGCUAAGAUCGCUUCCAAGCUCUCCACCAAAGGUCAUCUCAUGGAGAAUGUGGUUGGAAGCCUAAGAAAGGGGGUAAGCACUCGUAGACAAUUAGCAAACUAUUGUGAACAUCAUGCGUUUGUUUCUUGUGUCGAACCCCAAAAGGUGUAUGAAGCGCUCGAGGACCCGGAUUGGCUCAAUGCCAUGCAUGAAGAACUCAACAACUUCGAGCAUAACCAAGUGUGGAAAAUUAGUGCCAAGGCCAACCGGGAACCAUAAUGUCAUUGGAACCAAGUGGAUAUUCAAGAACAAGCAAGAUGCUCAUGGGAUCAUUGUUCGCAACAAGGCUCGUUUAGUGGCACAAGGCUACUCCCAAGUCGAGGGUAUCGACUACGGUGAAACCUUUGCUCCCGUCGCUCGCCUUGAAUCUAUUCGUUUGUUGAUUGCUUAUGCUUCUCAUCAUAAUUUCACGUUGCAACAAAUGGAUGUGAAGAGUGCUUUUCUUAAUGGUCCCAUAAAUGAGUUGGUGUAUGUCAAAAAAAACCCCGGGUUCGAAGAUCCCUAUUUCCCCGAUCAUGUGUAUCAACUCCAUAAGGCGCUCUAUGGCCUUAAACAAGCCCCACGUGCAUGGUAUGAGCAUCUUACGGAGUUGCUACAAGAUCGUGGAUUCGAAAUCGGGAAAAUCGACCCCACUCUUUUUACUAAGAAGGUCAAAGGGGAGUUGUUUGUAUGCCAACUAUAUGUUGAUGAUAUUAUUUUUGGUUCCCCUAACAAAGCUUUCAAUGAAGAAUUUGCCGCUCUCAUGACCUCAGAGUUCAAGAUGUCUAUGAUGGGAGAGUUGAAGUUCUUUCUCGGAUUCGAAAUCAAACAAAGAAGAGAAGGAAUCUUCAUCAACCAAGCCAAAUACACUCAAGACAUGCUAAAGAGAUUCAAGCUAAGUGAUGUCAAGCCAGCUUCGACUCCAAUGCCCACCAAGUGCCAACUUGACAUCGAUCCCAAUGGUAAAGCGGUGGAUCUAAAGGUAUAUCGCUCCAUGAUUGGAUCCUUGCUUUACCUUUGUGCAUCUAGACCGGAUAUCAUGUUGAGUAUGGGAAUUUGUGCACGGUUUCAAGCCGCACCUAAGGAAAGCCACUUUGUGGCGGUCAAGCGAAUCUUUCGAUAUUUGGCUCAUACCCCAAACUUUGGCUUAUGGUACCCAAGAGGAGCAAACUUCAAGCUUGUAGGUUAUUCGGACUCCGAUUGGGCGGGAGACAAAGUGGAUAGGAAGUCCACUUCCGGAGGGUGCCACUUUCUUGGUUGCUCUUUGGUAAGUUGGUCUUCUAAAAAGCAAAGUUGUGUGUCUCUCUCGUCCACCGAAGCGGAGUAUGUGGCGGCCGGGAGUUGUUGUGCACAACUCUUAUGGAUGAGGAAAACUUUAAAGGAUUACGGUGUCAUUUGUGACAAAGUGCCUCUUUGGUGUGACAAUGAAAGUGCCAUCAAGAUUUCUCUCAACCCGGUGCAACACUUCAAGACGAAGCAUAUUGAGAUUCGGUAUCACUUCAUCCGGGAUCAUAUUAGGCGAGGGGAGAUCGAGCUCAACUAUGUCAACACUCAUGAUAACCUUGCAGAUAUUUUCACGAAGCCAUUGGACGAAGCAAGAUUUCGCGAGUUAAGGCAUGAGCUAAAUAUCAUUGAUUCGAGCAAUGUGGUUUGAACCUUUGCACACCCCUCACAUUCAUCAUGCAUUCUUGUCUAGGUGUAGGCAUGGACAUAGGGGGAGUGUUGUUCUCUAAAUGAACUCUUCCUCCCCCCAUAAUGCAUAAACUAAUCUCACUCUUUCACAUUAGCCAUUUUUUAUGGUACUUGUGCUUCAAAGACGAGUUUUGGUCAUGAGCCCAAGGAUUAUUCUUCGCGGUGCCAUACCAAUUGACUCAAACAUAGGUGGCCUCGGCCACCGCCCCUUUCUUGAAGGGGUGUGUCUUCUGACCUCUUGCUAGUGUUCUUUGGGUGUCUCUUGGUUUUCUCUUCUUGCUGUCGUUUUCUUUUCUUUUCUUUUGUGCCGUGCUUGUUGAGUCUAGUUUUGAGUUGCGCUGGGCGGUACUACCGCUGUUGCUGCGCGGUACUAUCGCUUAGGUGCAUAAGCGGUACUACCGCCCUCAGCCGCGGUACUACCGCCCAUCACCGCGGUACUACCGCUGAGGGGCGGGACCAGGGGGUUAAGUCGUGGGCAGGGGUGGUUUCCUCCCCCCAUACCCAUUUGCUUCGUCCCCUCGUUCCUCUUCGUCUCUCCAGUGCCAUCUCGUCGCGGGAGGGCUCCGGCGGCCCUCCGUCUCCGGACCGUUUCUCUCCUUUUCCCUCGGUGGAGUCGAUCCCCACCUCGUCCUCUUGCCAUGGAUGCCGGUAUUGCCCCCGUUCCUCUUCUCUUCUUGUCUAAUUUUUAGAUCUCGUGUUUUAGGGGCAAUAGUGGUUGCAUCUCUAGAUUUUUGGCCAAAUCUAGGCUUGAGUAGGUUGGAGAAGGCAACUAGACUCUUUGGAUUGGUGUUUGGUAGGUUUAUUUUUGAAUUUGGCAUCCCCGGUAGUGCCGGAUCUGUCCACGGCAGUAGGGAUCCUCUGUGCCCCGUCUCAGGCGGUACUACCACCCCACCUGUGCGGUACUACCGCGCGAGCGGCACUAAGCUGUACUACCGCCCAUAUGGUGCGGUACUACUGCUGGAGCGGUACUGCCACUGUGCAGGCGCGGUACUACCGCCGGAUGCCCAAUUCCAUCAUUCCCUACCGCAUGUUGAUCCAUGUUUGUUGUGUUUAUUUGGUUUUGAUCGUUCCUUCUGGUUGUUUCAUGUGUCCGUGUGUUUGGUUCCAGGUGAUGAACAUCCUGAGCAGCAAGUCCGCCGUGUCAACCCCGGGCGUUCAACGUCAAAGCGAUACCGCUCAUCUGAGUCUGCAGGUGGUUCUUCCAGUGCUCCACCGCCGCCAGUGGGUGCUUCCUCAAGUGCUAAUCCUCAUCUCAAGAAGAAGACUGCCAACAGGCCGAAGUCAACUGGCAAGAAGGUGACUGAGAUGACUGCCAAGGAAUUCUGGGACAGGCGUCGCCGCAACCCAUAUGAGGAAGACCAAGAAUCCAACCUUGUCAAUCGCCCGUUCUGGAACCGGUUUCAGUAUGCCACCUACUUUGACGUGAUAAAGGCUAAGAAGAACCUCUUUUUCAAUGUUCAUUCCAUCAACAUGGAUGCUAUGGAGAAGGACCCGGAGUACUUUGGUGAUGCCCUUCAGAUGUGCUCUUAGUUGAACAUUCUCAGGAUCAUGCAGUUCAACAAGGACUUUGAUGCAGAUUUGGUGGCUCAGUUCUAUGCCACUGUCCACCUAGGAACUGAUGAAGAUAGGACUCUGACUUGGAUGACUAAUGGGAAGUUGCUAGCUGUCAAGUGGAAGGCCUUCAUGGAGUUGCUUGAGGUGGAAGAUCAAGGGCUCGAGACUCCAGUCGGGUUCCGUCCUCACCGCAAUGUUACCUCCACUCACAAGCAAGCCCUCUGGCCCUACUGUACUCUGAAGAUGAACCCUGAGACCAAGAAGGAAACCUAUGAGCUGUCUGCCUUUCUGGACAUCCUUCACCGUAUCUUCCGCGAGACUCUCUUCCCUCGUAUCGGGAAUCUGGACAUGGUUCACUCCUAUCUCGUGGACAUGAUUCUCUUCUGCCAGCGUGAGAAGGAAGCAAACACUGGCGAGUCCCUGGACAUCUCUCAUGUUAUGUGGUCUGAACUUCUGUCUACUGUUUCUGAGCGCAGGUGCCCGAUUUAUGCUCCGUUUAUCAUGUUGCUCAUUGAGAAGGCCUGGAGAAGUACCUAUCCCGAGGAAUUGCUGGAAACUGGAGAGUUGGUUUCUCAUGAGAUCAAGCGUCUGAGGAAGAAGGACAAUUGGGGCACCUCCAUUCCUAAAUCUGGGGUUCCUUCUUCUGCUGCCGCCAUGGAGACCGAGGGCGAGGCUGAUACUGGUGUUGACCAUGACUAUGUGCCUUCUGAGGCAGAGCCCUCUUGGGCAAAGAAGCUCAAGCUCAAGAUGAAGAAGCUGUUCUGCAUGGAGUCUCACGGUCAGUACAUGACACAUGUGGCUGAGAAGAAUGCCAGGGGACGCCACAAGGAUCUUAUGCGUCAGUUAGGUGCGACAGUCACCAGCGGCUCUGAGGGUCACAUCACUGAGGAGGAGGAGUGGAUCCAGCAGCACUGUCCGUGGACCGAUUCAGAUGCCGAGCAGUUUCCGACCGAGGACGGCGGUGCAGACGAUCACGCGGAGUACUGAUGUUCGAGAUCCUCAGCAUGCUCUCACCUGGAGCCGUAGGAGCGCUCUUUGCCCCUUUUGGUGUCUCGAUGCCAAAGGGGGAGAGAGUUUAGGGAUUUGCGUCGUUGUGUUGUGAGUGUGUCUGUGUGCUUUCGGUGUGUUUGCUUCCAUUUGCUUUGUUUGGUUUUGUGUUCCGUGAGACCUAAGUUUCAGACAUAUGGUGUGAGACAUAUGCUACCUUAUCCUUAUCAUAUCUUUAUCUAUGUCUCUUGUCAUUUAGUAUCUCAUGAGUAGCAUGCUUACUAUGUCAUAUUUCCUGCUCUCAUGUAUCACGCUUAGGUUGUUGGUCUCUAAAAUACAGGGGGAGUGUUGAUCCUAGUAUGUGUGCCGUGCAGUCCAAAGCACUUAUCUUGAUGGCACACAUCUAGGGGAGCCCGUUUAUAUUUUAGAGAUUUGGGGUCUGCUUAUGUCCUUUGUCUGUUCCCGUUUGUGCAAAUCCCGUAUUGUCAUCAAUCCACCAAAAAGGGGGAGAUUGUAAGGGCAUUUGUAUCCCUUAGAUGUUUUGGUGAUUGAUGACAAUGCUUUUGCGGACUAAUCGUGUGCAUUGAGUUUUUCAGAGAUUCAUCCUUUGGCACGAGACGAUUCCCUCCCCUCGGAGUUUGAAGCGAAGACGGUGUAGUACUUUCGAAUUAGUUUGGUGGACUAGUUUCGUAGGGAUCAUCGUACUAUCAAGAGGAGGUCCGCUUUGGAAAGGCUAGGGUGGAAUCAUCACGUACACUUCCUUUGCACACCCUCCGAGCCUUUCUGCUUCAUUGAUGAGCUCGUUCCCCUCUCUCAGUGUGCCCUCUCUGGUCCCAGCGGUAGUACCGCUUGGGUGCUACAAGCGGCAGUACCGCUCCACAGCGGUAGUACCGCUGCGGCUUCGUGCUAGUACCGCCUCGAUUCGAAGGGUCUUUUUCCGUGUCGGGUUUUACGGUACUAGCCGCGGCAGUGGGGGCGGUAGUACCGCUCGUGUGCGGUAGUACCGCCCUGACCACCGCGGUAGUACCACUCUGGGCCCAGCGGCAGUACCGCGAGGGGGAGCGGUAGUACCGCUGGCCAAGCGGUAGUACCGCUCUCUGCGGGGCUGAAGUGGGGGGUAACGGUUGGAUUGCUCCCCCCACUAUAAAAGGGGGUCUUCUUCCCCAAAGUUGACCUACCUCUUCCCCCAAAAGCUCCAUUGUUGCUCCAAGCUCCAUUUUCGCCCGAUCUCUCUCCCUAGCCAAUCAAACUUGUUGAUUUGCUCGGGAUUGGUUGAGAAGGCCCGAUCUAUACUUCCACCAAGAGAAAUUUUGAUUCCCCCCCACUAAUCCCUAGCGGAUCUUGUUACUCUUGGGUGUGUGAGCACCCUAGACGGCUGAGGUCACCACGGAGCCAUAGUCCAUUGUGGUGAAGCUUCGUGGUGUUGUUGGGAGCCUCCAAUUAAGUUGUGGAGAUUUCCCCAACCUUGUUUGUAAAGGUUCGGUCGCCGCCUUCAAGGGCACCAAUAGUGGAAUCACGGCAUCUCGCAUUGUGUGAGGGCGUGAGGAGAAUACGGUGGCCCUAGUGGCUUCUUGGGGAGCAUUGUGCCUCCACACCGCUCUAACGGAGACGUACUUCCCCUCAAAAGGAAGGAACUUCGGUAACACAUCCUUGUCUCCACCGGCUCCACUCUUGGUUAUUUCUUACCUUUACUUGUGCACGCUUAUAUUGUGUUGUAUCCCUUUCUUGCUUGUGCGCUUGUUGUUGUUGCAUCAUAUAGGUUGCUCACCUAGUUGCAUAUCUAGACAACCUACUUUGAUGCAAAGUUUAAAUUGGUAAAGAAAAGCUAAAAAAAUUUAGUUGCCUAUUCACCCCCCCUCUAGUCAACUAUAUCGAUCCUUUCAUCCGUUCCAUUUACAGACGCGGAUGCUUCAAGUCUUGAGAAACAUGCUGCCCGGGUUUUCACGCCUUGUAUGUUUGAGCUGGUUAGAUGGAGCAUAAAUGCCGUCAGCAAAUGUGUUAUCAGCGAGAUACUAGACGCAUGGGAGUUGACUACAUAUGUUGUCGCUAAGAUCGAUAGAAGGGAGAAGAAGUUCGAAGUGCGCUGUAAGGUGAAGGAAGGUUCUUUGUACAGGAUCAGUUGCUCUUGUCAUAAGCUGGAAUGCUUGGGAACACCAUGCUCUCACAUAUUCUACAUCUUGGGAAUACGUCAAGUGGAACUGCUGCCUAGGUGUUGUGUUCCCAUGAGGUGGACGAUGAGUGCGAAGUCAGCAUUCCCUCCGACCAGAAAGAGCGAGAUGUAUGACUAUUCAGAAAGCCUUGUGAGGUACCGUGAGUUGCGGAAUUUGAGUCACGCGACAUGUUUCUGCGCAUGUCAAUCCAGUGAGGAGUAUCAGCGUCUGAAGACGGUUCUGAAUGCACAAGAUGGCAGCAAGGAAUCAAGCCGUGGUCAGGAGGAAUGCAUUAUGUUUGGUCCGGUGCUGCCACAGAUGACGGAAAUUGAUUGUGCAGAUUUGGAAAAGGUUCUAGACCCAGUGCAUGUGCAAGGCCGAGGUGCACCGAAGAAAAGGUUGCAGGCAAAGAUGAAGAAGCAAAGAUCAAAGAGGAAAUGUGGCUACUGUGGGGUGGAAGGCCAUGAUCGGCGUAUAUGCACUAAAUUGGAAGAGGUGUCAAAUAUGUCUAUUUUUUAUUUUGUGUCUGCUUUACUCAUUAAUAUAGUGCACUAAUUAUAUUUGUUGCUGUGUAGGAAGUGAUGGGCUGAUGGCAGCAAACUGUUAGGUACAACUCUCUAUACAAGGGAUUUCGUGGUAGGAAACUGUUGCGCUUGUGGUCCUGCUAUGAAGUAUUAAUUACUGCAAGUAUGACCGUGCUUGAAUAACAUCAGUGUUAGUUGUCAAUUCAUGUAUCAUAUUUGUCUUUUAAUAGUAUUAUUAGGUUGGCUUCCAUAUAUUUCUAAUAUAAAAACAAUUGUUGGUUGGCCGAGCAAAGAAUGAAACUGUCUGCAUGUUACUUAUUAAUAACUUGAAACGGACCACUGUUUUGAGAUGUACAGUAUAUGUUCACAGAAUUAUAAAAUUUCUGCAGUAUAUGAUGAUACUUCUUUCUGAAAAUGAGAUUGCAAUAUGUAGUUGAGAUCCGGUGUUGUAAUUGCGACAUCACACUUUCUGCCGACGCUAUGCAAUUUCUUAAACUUUUGUAAAUAUUUCUCCAUAUUCUUCAGGUGACCCGAAGUGGCAGGCAGCUACAUGUUGGUCUGCUGAGAAGAUCAAACGCACUAAGAAGAUCAAGCAGGCAGAGGAAAAAGUCUAUGGUUCUAGAUUCUCAAGCAAGGCAGCGAAGACUAAUGGUAGCAAGGCAGGGUGUGCUUGUCUGUAAAAAAAACAUCGGAGAUUUAAUGGCAGCUGAUCAUGUAGUAAAAACAUCAUACGUUGAAGACAUGUGGGAGGUUGAAGAUGAUGUUUGAUGAGUUAUUGGCUUUCAUGUGUAUGUAGUCAUUUCUCCGGUUGUUGUAAUUGAACACAUGCAUGUGUGUGUCUGUUUGUGUGCCGCUAUUAUCCCACUCCUCUAGGUUCUCUGCUUUAGUUUGUCGUGGCCAGCUAUUAGCCCCCUCCUAUAGAUUCAGAGUUCUUUUACAACAAAUCAGAGAAGGUUAGGUAAUAUUUAUGAUAGAUGGAGAGGUGAUCACAGAGCAGCCAAAAUAUAAUGUCCUGAAUGUCAAACAGAACAAAGCAGUCCCAAAACUGAUGCGAGCCGGCUUGACUUUUUUGUUCCAACUUGUUUUCUUUUUUCUUCUUUUUUUUGCUCUUUUUUUUGUUCUCUUUUUUUGCUCUUUUUUUGGUUCUCUUUUUAUGUUUUUUCUGUUUUUUUAUCAAGCCGGUUACUAGCAGACUAUGUAUCCACACAAAAUUAGAGCUGACAGAGAAAAGGGAAAAAAAUAUUGGUGAGACGUGUGACACGGAAGCUAGCGUUGUGCUAGUAGCAAAAGUGAGGCAUGUAUGAUGAUGUGCUGCAUAGACAAGACCAGCGUACAAGGAGAGAGAAAAAAGAAGAAGAAAAAAAAACAGCAGCGCUGCAGGGCAGACACGGCUCAGCUUGAUGUCUGGGUUCUGGCGUUAAGUGCUGAGGCGCAUGCAAGAUGGCAGACACAUGAGCUGGAUGUAUGGGCGUGUGGUUUAGACUAGCCACAAUGGGUAGUAACAUAGAGUAGUAACAUGGACAUGUUACUACUCUAUGUUACUACCUCUAUAGUGGAGAGUAACAUAUGUGUGGUAACAUGCAACACUUCAUUUAUUAGGCUAUAGACUCAUCUUGCCUUGAUAUGUGUGAUGUUACUCAUACUAGUACUAGUAACUAGCUAUGUUACCACAUCUCUCUCUUUCUUCAUUUAUUGCUUACCACAUCAUCUAUUUUAUCUAGAUAUAUGUGAUGUUACUACCUAUGUUACUCCCAUUGUGGGUAGUCUUAGCGGCGCUUGAGUGACAGACAGAGCGCGCUUGUAUGUCUCGGGUCGCGAGAAGCGCGAUGCGGUAGGCUGAUCUGCGCGUGUGGUGAUGAUCACCGCAAUCUUUUUUUUUGCUUUGCAGAUUGAGAACUAGGGUUGCUUUACAAAUUGCACCAAAAUUUUAAGCUAAUACUCUUUGCCUGUCUCAUGAAAUGUGUAGUGACAUUCUUAGUAAAACUGGUCGUUUAAUUGACGUUAUGAACAUAAAACUGGUUUGGACUAGUGUAGCACAUGCAAUACAAAAAUAGUAAAAGCCACAAUUAAGUGUGCGGGCAUCAAAGGAACCUUUCAUCUAAAAAUUGAGCAACAACUCAAAGUGUUGAAAGCCUAUUAUUAUAAACAUAGUCUCACAAUUGUCACUUCAAUGAAGUGAUUGUUGGUUCGAAAAUAAUGAAAAAACUACUUGGGACAAUAGUUCAGCUCUAAAGUUUGAAAUUGUAGAAAAACCAAAAUCCUACUGAAGAGGCUCGUCACUGCUGCCGAAAUCCAAUGCCUUCUUCGGAUUGUUAUCUGCAAGUUUCUUCCUUUUGGGCGAUGACCCAUAUUCGCCCAAGUCCCUCUCGCCGAUAUCCAUGUACCCACAUGCAUAUAUGUCUUCUUCGAACAUGUCCUGCCCAAAUGCAUGCGAAAGGUAUUUAUGCAAAUGAUGUGGCCAUUUUUUGUAUAAUAAAUAGGAACUUGGCAAUAUAACCAACCUGUUCAGACAUCUCAUCAUCGCUAUUAUCUAAGAAUGCACAAUUCUUCACAAUGUACAAAUGACAUUUCUUUAUCCCUUCUAAAGCGUGCAACAUUUCAUCGACGUCAUGCUGGCCUGACAUCUGUACCAUUCCUUCAGGUGGUACGCACCCAGGCUUGAUGUAGUACAAAUCUGCUUCCCGUUUGUACCCAUGGUAACGCAAAUUUUUCACCAUUAUCUGCCAGUCCACCUUGCCAGGUUCAACUACUGUCGUCAUACCAGGUUUCUUGUUGUGGUAUGCUUGAGGAACAUGAGAAAGUUCUUCGUCCACAUGAACAAUAAAUUGCAUUACAACUACCUACAUACGACUCAUUGACAUCAGUUUUUGCACAAUAUUAAAGUGUUCAUACGUACGAUGUGCAUACCAUUUGUAAAACAUACUUACUCGGUGACGUGGUGAUGAGACAGAUUGUUCCGGUGGUGGGAUGUCGCAUUUUGCCUGCCGAGGUGGUGAUGAGACAGAUUGCUCUGGUGAACGGAUGUCUUGUUCUGCCUGUAGAGGUACUGAUGAGACAUAUUGCUCUGGUGUAGGGAUGUCUUGUUGUGCCUGAGCAUGCUGUUGAUAUAAAUUGAUUUUGGUUUGUGUGUGGAUAAUUUAAUGAAUAAUAAGUAAAUAAUGAAAGGUACCUUCGUGCCUGUACUAGCAUGGUCUUGCAUCAUACCCCCUUCCAUGCGGAUCUCCUCCAUCUUGGCCUUGUCAUCCUGCUGAGCCUGCUGUGGUUACAAACUGAUUUUGCUUUGUAUGUGGAUAACAUACUGAAUAAUAAUCUUAGUAAAUAAAGGAACGUACCUUCAGACGUGUAUUAGCACGGUCCUGCAUCGUAUUUCCUUCCAUGCGGAUCUGCUCCAUCUUGGCCUUGUAAUCCAGAUCAUUGUGGUCCUCUGGUAAGUUAAGGUCCAUGCCCGCACGCGUCUGCAUGUUAUUGAAGCCCAUCUUACCACGCUCGAGAUGUAGAACGCGGUCUUGCAUCAUAUUCCCUUCCAUGCAGAUCCCCUCCAUCUUGGCCUUGUGAUUCAUGUCAUUACGCUCCUGCUGCAACAUACGAUCCAUGUUCACACGCGCCUGCAUGAUAUUGAAUUCCAUCCUGCCACGCUCGAGCUGCAUAGCGCGAUCCAGGUCCUUGCGCUCCUUCUUCAACUUUAGGUCCAUAUCGUCAUGGAAAUGCUUCAACCUCUGAUCCAUGGCUGCACGCUCCUCAGUCAUCAUCUGUUCCACGGCUGCACGCUCCUUCUUUCUCAUGCGGUUCACGGUUGCCCGCUCCUGCUUCAGAUUCUUGUCCAUCACCUCUCGCUCUCGCUGCAUAUUCUUGUCCAUCUCUUGACGCGCCUGAUGCAAGUACUUGUCAUCAUCCACUCGGUUGUGCUGUGCCUUUGAAUCCAUGGUCCCUGUAGAAAGCAACAGAACAGUGCUAGUUACAAUAUAUUUGAAAAUUGAAAUAUCUAUUAAUUUCAAACUGUCACUAUUCAACACAAUGUGGCCGAACUGAAGGUACGGAGUGUUUGGUGCUAGGUCCUAGGUGCACUAUAUAGAUCAAAUUACUAACUCCCAUACUGCUACAAUUUAGAGAAAUUAUUAGAUUUCUGUAUUUUAGUUUAGUGCAUGCGAUGUGCCACUAAAAGGAUCCGCAGAUCGGCCGCCGUGGCACCGUCCGCAUCCACUGUAUUAAUUGAAUCUGAUUGGUAAUAAGAGGGAGGGAAACACCAUAUGUGUACAUACAGUUCGGUUGCGGAGCACCGGGUCGCCGGACGCGGAGGAGAGGACAUCGUCGGGCGUGGAGGAGAGAGAGCCGCCGCCUGAUGAACUGCUCCCGAUGGGAUUUGCGUCUGUGGCUAGGUUUACGUACGUGGCUGGUAAGUUGGGCUGCUAAGUACUAUAUAGGCAAUUCUAUUACGUAUAUGGAUUGGGCUGGUAAGUACUAUAUGGGCUUUUGUGCUCACGUGGAUCAAAUAUCGUAAAUCUGAAAUAACAAAAUGUUCUUGUUACUUAAAAGAUACUUCAACUCAAAAAAAAACUUAAAAGAAACCUUGUCUAAAAAAAGCUUAAAAGAAACCUUGUCUAAAAAAAGCUUAAAAGAAACUUAAAAAAAUCCUUCUCUUUUGCACACUGUAGCGGAGGCAUUACUCGUUCGGACUCACCACUACGGGUAGUCGUAGUCUGAAACACCCACCAGCACCGGUAGUCAGGGUCGAGAAAGACCGUUAUAGAAGUUGUGUGCCAGGAGUUUUGGGUUCGGAAUACACAGAGUGGUGAUAGCCAACUGUUGUCGGGUAGUCCAAGUCAGAAUCAUCGAUAACUAACGGUAGUCGGGGUACAGACGAGGAGUACUUGAAGUGCUAUUGGUGGAACCGCACAGCUGGCCACCCAUUGUGCUAAAAGGGAUCCGGGGAUCAAUAGUGGUACUGGUAGUAUCAGACGACUCAUCGUGGUAGUGAUGUAUCUGGAUGACCCGUAGUACUAGACGUAAAGAGCCAUGGUCGUGGUACUACCUGUAGCGGAUGACCCACAACUACCAGUCGGACCGCCGAGCUACCCACCCAUGUGAAAGUAGUUUUGGGUUCGGAGUACCCGUAGUGGUGAUAGCCAGCUGCUGUCAUGAGAAUCGGUCUUACUCGUUGAGAGUGACUCGUGGUGUUAACAUUUCCGGAUGACCCAUUGUGCUAAAAGGGUUACAGGGAUCAAUAGUGCUAUUGAUAAUAUACGACACAUGGUGGUACUGAUGUACCCGGAUGACCCAUAGUACUUGGUACUGCUGCAGACGCCGUUGGUGAGUCCGUCAGGAUGGGGGAGAGCACGUGCCUCAAGACUACUGUCAAAUUUGCUCGCGCCGUGAUUGAGGUGUUUGGACCGAAGUAUCUCAGAGAACCAAAUGCACGGGACACGGGAGAAGUUGUUGGCUAUUGGACAGGCAAGGGGGUUUCCAAGAAUGCUCGGAUCAAUUGAUUGCAUGUAGUGGCAAUGGAAAAACUGCCCCAAAGGUCCGCGGGUAAUGUAUCAAGGUCACACCAGAGAGGCCACCAUCAUACUAGAAGCGGUGGCAUCACAUGACUUAUGGAUUUGGCAUGAUUUCUUUGGAAUGCCCGGUUCUCACAACGGCAUCAACGUGCUUCAACGAUCUCCGGUGUUCAGGAGGCUUUGCAAUGGGGAAUCACCGCCGUGCAACUACGCCUGUCAACGGCCGGGACUACAACAUGGGGUACCUGUUGGAAAUAUGCCCUAGAGGCAAUAAUAAAAUGGUUAUUAUUAUAUUUCCUUGUUCAUGAUAAUUGUCUAUUGUUCAUGCUAUAAUUGUGUUAUCCGGAAAUCGUAAUACAUGUGUGAAUACAUAGACCACAACAUGUCCCUAGUGAGCCUCUAGUUGACUAGCUCGUUGAUCAAAAGAUAGUCAUGGUUUCCUGACUAUGGACAUUGGAUGUCAUUGAUAACGGGAUCACAUCAUUAGGAGAAUGAUGUGACGGACAAGACCCAAUCCUAAGCAUAGCACAAGAUCGUGUAGUUCGUUUGCUAGAGCUUUUCCAAAUGUCAAGUAUCAUUUCCUUAGACCAUGAGAUUGUGCAACUCCCGGAUACCAUAGGAGUGCUUUGGGUGUGCCAAACGUCACAUGUAACUGGGUGGCUAUAAAGGUGCACUACGGGUAUCUCCGAAAGUGUCUGUUGGGUUGGCACGAAUCGAGACUGGGAUUUGUCACUCCGUAUGACGGAGAGGUAUCUCUGGGCCCACUCGGUAAUGCAUCAUCAUAAUGAGCUCAAUGUGACCAAGUGUUUGGUCACGGGAUCAUGCAUUACGGUACGAGUAAAGUGACUUGACGGUAACGAGAUUGAACAAGGUAUUGGGAUACCGACGAUCGAAUCUCGGGCAAGUAACGUACCGAUUGACAAAGGGAAUUGUAUACGGGAUUGAUUGAAUCCUCGACAUCGUGGUUCAUCCGAUGAGAUCAUCGUGGAACAUGUGGGAGCCAACAUGGGUAUCCAGAUCCCGCUGUUGGUUAUUGACCGGAGAGUCGUCUCGGUCAUGUCUGCAUGUCUCCCGAACCCGUAGGGUCUACACACUUAAGGUUCAGUGACGCUAGAGUUGUAGAGAUAUUAGUAUGCGGUUAACCGAAAGUUGUUCGGAGUCCCGGAUGAGAUCCCGGACGUCACGAGGAGUUCCGGAAUGGUCUGGAGGUAAAGAUUUAUAUAUGGGAAGUCCUAUUUUGGCCACCGGAAAAUGUUCGGGAUUUUUCGGUAUUGUACCGGGAAGGUUCUAGAAGGUUCCGAAGUGGGGCCCACCUGCAUGGGGGGACCCACAUGAACGUGGGUAGUGGGGGCAAGGCCCCACACCCCUGGUCAAGGCGUACCAAGAUCCCACCUUAGCAGGAAUAAGAUCAUAUCCCGAAGGGAUAGAUCAAGAUCCCUAAAAAGGGGGGAUAACAAUCGGUGGGGAAGGGAAAUGAUGGGAUUUCUUUCCCCCACCUUUGCCAACGCCCCAAUGGACUUGGAGGGCAAGAAACCAGCCCCCUCCACCCCUAUAUAUAGUGGGGAGGCGCAUGGGAGCAGCACCCAAAGCCCUGGCGCCUCCCUCCCUCCCGUGACACCUCUUCCUCCCCGCUUGCGCUUGGCGAAGCCCUGCCGGGAUCCCGCUACUUCCACCACCACGCCGUCGUGCUGCUGGAUCUCCAUCAACUUCUCCUCUCCCCUUGCUGGAUCAAGAAGGAGGAGACGUCCCCGCUCCGUACGUGUAUUGAACGCGGAGGUGCCAUCCGUUCGGCGUUAGGAUCAUCGGUGAUUUGGAUCACGACGAGUACGACUCCAUCAACCCCGUUCUCUUGAACGCUUCCGCGCGCGAUCUACAAGGGUAUGUAGAUGCACUCCCCUCUCUCUCUCGUUGCUAGAUGACUCCAUAGAUUGAUCUUGGUGAUACGUAGAAAAUUUUAAAUUUCUGCUACGAUCCCCAACAGUGGCAUCAUGAGCUAGGUCUAUGCGUAGUUUCUAUGCACGAGUAGAACACAAACUUGUUGUGGGCGUAGAUGUUGUCAAUUUUCUUGCCACUACUAGUAUUAUCUUGUUUCGGCGGCAUCGUGGGAUGAAGCGGCCCGGACCGACCUUACACGUACGCUUACGUGAGACAGGUUCCACCGACUGACAUGCACUAGUUGCAUAAGGUGGCUAGCGGGUGUCUGUCUCUCCCACUUUAGUCGAAUCGGAUUCAAUGAAAAGGGUCCUUAUGAAGGGUAAAUAUAAGUUGGCAUAUCACGUUGUGGUUUUACGUAGGUAAGAAACAUUCUUGCUAGAAACCUAUAGAAGCCACGUAAAAACAUGCAACAACAAUUAGAGGAUGUCUAACUUGUUUUUGCAGCAUAUGCCUUGUGAUGUGAUAUGGCCAAAAGGAUGUGAUGAAUGAAAUAUAUGUGAUGUAUGAGAUUGAUCAUGUUCUUGUAAUAGGAAUCACGACUUGCAUGUCGAUGAGUAUGACAACCGGCAGGAGCCAUAGGAGUUGUCUUUAUUUUUUGUAUGACCUGCGUGUCAUUGAAUAACGCCAUGUAAAUUACUUUACUUUAUUGCUAAACACGUUAGCCAUAGAAGUAGAAGUAAUCGUUGGCGUGACAACUUCAUGAAGACACGAUGAUGGAGAUCAUGGUGUCAUGCCGGUGACGAAGAUGAUCAUGGCGCCCCGAAGAUGGAGAUCAAAGGAGCAAUAUGAUACUGGCCAUAUCAUGUCACUAUUUGAUUGCAUGUGAUGUUUAUCAUGUUUUACAUCUUAUUUGCUUAGAACGACGCUAGCUUAAAUAAGAUGACCCAUCGCAAUAAUUUCAAGAAAGUGUUCCCCCUAACUGUGCACCGUUGCGAAGGUUCGUUGUUUCGAAGCACCACAUGAUGAUCGGGUGUGAUAGAUUCUAACGUUCGAAUACAACGGGUGUAAGCCAGAUUUACACACGCAAUACACUUAGGUUGACUUGACGAGCCUAGCAUGUACAGACAUGGCCUCGGAACACGGAAGACCGAAAGGUCGAGCAUGAGUCGUAUAGAAGAUACGAUCAACAUGAAGAUGUUCACCGAUGUUGACUAGUCCGUCUCACGUGAUGAUCGGACACGGCCUAGUUAACUCGGAUCAUGUUUCACUUAGAUGACUAGAGGGAUGUCUAUCUGAGUGGGAGUUCAUUGAAUAAUUUGAUUAGAUGAACUUAAUUAUCAUGAACUUAGUCUAAUAUCUUUACAAUAUGUCUUGUAGAUCAAAUGGCCCACGUUGCCCUCAACUUCAACGCGUUCCUAGAGAAAACCAAGCUGAAAGAUGAUGGCAACAACUAUACGGACUGGGUCCGGAACCUGAGGAUCAUCCUCAUAGCUGCCAAGAAAGAUUAUGUCCUAGAAGCACCGCUAGGUGAAGCACCCAUCCCAGAGAACCAAGAUGUUAUGAACGCUUGGCAAUCACGUGCUGAUGAUUACUCCCUCGUUCAGUGCGGCAUGCUUUACAGCUUAGAACCGGGGCUCCAAAAGCGUUUUGAGAAACACAGAGCAUAUGAGAUGUUCGAAGAGCUGAAAAUGGUUUUCCAAGCUCAUGCCCGGGUCGAGAGAUAUGAAGUCUCCGACAAGUUCUUCAGUUGUAAAAUGGAGGAAAAUAGUUCUGUCAGUGAGCACAUACUCAAAAUGUCUGGGUUACACAACCGCUUGUCUCAGCUGGGAGUUAAUCUCCCGGAUGACGCGGUCAUUGACAGAAUCCUUCAGUCGCUUCCACCGAGCUACAAGAGCUUUGUGAUGAACUUCAAUAUGCAGGGGAUGGAAAAGACCAUUCCUGAGGUAUAUUCAAUGCUGAAAUCAGCGGAGGUGGAGAUCAAAAAGGAACAUCAAGUGUUGAUGGUGAAUAAAACCACUAAGUUCAAGAAAGGCAAGGGUAAGAAGAACUUCAAGAAGGACGGCAAGGGAGUUGCCGCGCCCGGUAAGCCAGUUGCCGGGAAGAAGCCAAAGAAUGGACCCAAGCCUGAGACUGAGUGCUUUUAUUGCAAGGGAAGUGGUCACUGGAAGCGGAACUGCCCCAAGUACUUAGCGGACAAGAAGGCCGGCAACACCAAAGGUAUAUGUGAUAUACAUGUUAUUGAUGUGUACCUUACCAGCACUCGUAGUAGCUCCUGGGUAUUUGAUACCGGUGCGGUUGCUCAUAUUUGUAACUCAAAGAAGGAGCUGCGGAAUAAACGGAGAUUGGCAAAGGACGAGGUGACGAUGCGCGUCGGGAAUGGUUCCAAGGUCGAUGUGAUCGCCGUCGGCACGCUACCUCUACAUUUACCUACGGGAUUAGUUUUAAACCUCAAUAAUUGUUAUUUAGUGCCAGCUUUGAGCAUGAACAUUGUAUCAGGAUCUCGUUUAAUUCGAGAUGGCUACUCAUUUAAAUCCGAGAAUAAUGGUUGUUCUAUUUAUAUGAGAGAUAUGUUUCAUGGUCAUGCCCCGCUGGUUAAUGGUUUAUUCUUAAUGAAUCUCGAACGUAGUGUUACACAUAUUCAUAGUGUGAAUACCAAAAGAUGUAAGGUUGAUAAUGAUAGUCCCGCAUACUUGUGGCACUGCCGUCUUGGUCACAUUGGUGUCAAACGCAUGAAGAAGCUCCAUGUAGAUGGACUUUUGGAGUCUCUUGAUUACGAAUCAUUUGACACGUGCGAACCAUGCCUCAUGGGUAAGAUGACCAAGACUCCGUUCUCCGGAACAAUGGAGCGAGCAACCAACUUAUUGGAAAUCAUACAUACUGAUGUGUGCGGUCCAAUGAGUGUUGAGGCUCGCGGUGGCUAUCGUUAUGUUCUCACUCUCACUGAUGACUUGAGUAGAUAUUGGUAUGUCAACCUAAUGAAACACAAGUCUGAGACCUUUGAAAAGUUCAAGGAAUUUCAGAGUGAGGUUGAGAAUCAACGUGACAGGAAAAUAAAGUUCUUCCGAUCAGAUCGUGGAGGGGAAUAUUUGAGUCACGGAUUUGGCACACACUUAAGGAAAUGUGGAAUAGUUUCACAACUCACGCCGCCUGGAACACCUCAGCGAAAUGGUGUGUCCGAACAUCGUAAUCGCACUCUAUUGGAUAUGGUGCGAUCUAUGAUGUCUCUUACCGAUCUACUGCUCUCAUUUUGGGGCUAUGCUUUAGAGACUGCCGCAUUCACUUUAAAUAGGGCUCCAUCGAAAUCCGUUGAGACGACACCGUGUGAAUUAUGGUUUGGGAAGAAACCUAAGCUUUCGUUUCUAAAAGUUUGGGGAUGCGAUGCUUAUGUCAAGAAACUUCAACCUGAAAAGCUCGAACCCAAGUCGGAAAAAUGCGUCUUCAUAGGAUACCCUAAGGAAACCAUUGGUCAUACCUUCUACCUUAGAUCCGAAGGCAAGAUCUUUGUUGCCAAGAACGGGUCCUUUCUGGAGAAAGAGUUUCUCUCGAAAGAAGUAAGUGGGAGGAAAGUGGAACUUGAUGAAGUACUACCUCUUGAACCGGAAAGUAGCGCAGCUUAGGAAGAUGUUCCUGUGGUGCCUGCACUGACUAGAGAGGAAGCUAAUGAUGAUGAUCAAGGUACUUCGGAUCAAGUUACUACUGAACUUCGUAGGUCCACGAGGACACGUUCCACACCAGAGUGGUAUGGCAACCCUGUCCUGGAAAUCAUGUUGUUAGACAAUGGUGAACCUUCGAACUAUGAAGAAGCAAUGGCGGGCCCAGAUUCCAACAAAUGGCUUGAAGCCAUGCAAUCCGAGAUAGGAUCCAUGUAUGAAAACAAAGUGUGGACUUUGACAGACUUGCCCGAUGAUCGGCGAGCGAUAGAAAACAAAUGGAUCUUUAAGAAGAAGACGGACGCGGAUGGUAAUGUUACCAUCUAUAAAGCUCGACUUGUCGCUAAGGGUUAUCGACAAGUUCAAGGGGUUGACUACGAUGAGACUUUCUCACCCGUAGCGAAGCUGAAGUCCGUCCGAAUCAUGUUAGCAAUUGCCGCAUACUAUGAUUACGAGAUAUGGCAAAUGGACGUCAAAACGGCAUUCCUUAACGGCUUUCUUAAGGAAGAAUUGUAUAUGAUGCAGCCGGAAGGUUUUGUCGAUCCUAAGAAUACUAACAAGGUAUGCAAGCUCCAGCGCUCCAUCUAUGGGCUGGUGCAAGCAUCUCAGAGUUGGAACAUUCGAUUUGAUGAGAUGAUCAAAGCGUUUGGGUUUACACAGACUUAUGGAGAAGCCUGUGUUUACAAGAAAGUGAGUGGGAGCUUUGUAGCAUUUCUCAUAUUAUAUGUGGAUGACAUACUGUUGAUGGGAAAUGAUAUAGAAUUCUUGGGAAGCAUAAAUGCCUACUUGAACAAGUGUUUUUCAAUGAAGGACCUUGGAGAAGCUGCUUAUAUAUUAGGCAUCAAGAUCUAUAGAGAUAGAUCAAGACGCCUCAUUGGUCUUUCACAAAGUACGUACCUUGACAAGAUAUUGAAGAAGUUCAAUAUGGAUCAGUCCAAGAAGGGGUUCUUGCCUGUAUUGCAAGGUGUGCAAUUGAGCACGGCUCAAUGCCCGACCACGGCAGAAGAUAGAGAAAAGAUGAGUGUCGUCCCCUAUGCCUCGGCCAUAGGGUCUAUUAUGUAUGCCAUGCUGUGUACCAGACCUGAUGUAAACCUUGCCGUAAGUUUGGUAGGAAGGUACCACAGUAAUCCCGGCAUGGAACACUGGACAUCGGUCAAGAAUAUCCUGAAGUACCUGAAGAGGACUAAGGAUAUGUUUCUCGUUUAUGGAGGUGACGAAGAGCUCGUCGUAAAGGGUUACGUCGAUGCUAGCUUCGACACAGAUCUGGAUGACUCUACGUCACAAACCGGAUACGUGUAUAUUUUGAAUGGUGGGGCAGUAAGCUGGUGCAGUUGCAAGCAAAGCGUUGUGGCGGGGUCUACAUGUGAAGCGGAAUACAUGGCGGCCUCAGAGGCAGCACAAGAAGCAAUCUGGAUGAAGGAGUUCAUUACCGACCUAGGAGUUAUUCCCAAUGCGUCGGGCCCGAUGACUCUCUUCUGUGACAACACUGGAGCUAUUGCCCUUGCCAAGGAGCCCAGGUUUCACAGGAAGACCAGGCAUAUCAAGCGUCGCAUGAACUCCAUUCGUGAAAGUGUUCAAAAUGGAGACAUAUAUAUUUGUAAAGUACAUACGGACCUGAAUGUAGCAGAUCCGUUGACUAAACCUCUCCCUAGAGCAAAACAUGAUCAACACCAGAACUCUAUGGGUGUUCGAUUCAUCACAAUGUAACUAGAUUAUUGACUCUAGUGCAAGUGGGAGACUGUUGGAAAUAUGCCCUAGAGGCAAUAAUAAAAUGGUUAUUAUUAUAUUUCCUUGUUCAUGAUAAUUGUCUAUUGUUCAUGCUAUAAUUGCGUUAUCCGGAAAUUGUUAUACAUGUGUGAAUACAUAGACCACAACAUGUCCCUAGUGAGCCUCUAGUUGACUAGCUCGUUGAUCAACAGAUAGUCAUGGUUUCCUGACUAUGGACAUUGGAUGUCAUUGAUAACGGGAUCACAUCAUUAGGAGAAUGAUGUGAUGGACAAGACCCAAUCCUAAGCAUAGCACAAGAUCGUGUAGUUCGUUUGCUAGAGCUUUUCCAAAUGUCAAGUAUCAUUUCCUUAGACCAUGAGAUUGUGCAACUCCCGGAUACCAUAGGAGUGCUUUGGGUGUGCCAAACGUCACAUGUAACUGGGUGGCUAUAAAGGUGCACUACGGGUAUCUCCGAAAGUGUCUGUUGGGUUGGCACGAAUCGAGACUGGGAUUUGUCACUCCGUAUGACGGAGAGGUAUCUCUGGGCCCACUCGGUAAUGCAUCAUCAUAAUGAGCUCAAUGUGACCAAGUGUUUGGUCACGAGAUCAUGCAUUACGGUACGAGUAAAGUGACUUGCCGGUAACGAGAUUGAACAAGGUAUUGGGAUACCGACGAUCGAAUCUCGGGCAAGUAACGUACCGAUUGACAAAGGGAAUUGUAUACGGGAUUGAUUGAAUCCUCGACAUCGUGGUUCAUCCGAUGAGAUCAUCGUGGAACAUGUGGGAGCCAACAUGGGUAUCCAGAUCCCGCUGUUGGUUAUUGACCGGAGAGUCGUCUCGGUCAUGUCUGCAUGUCUCCCGAACCCGUAGGGUCUACACACUUAAGGUUCGGUGACGCUAGAGUUGUAGAGAUAUUAGUAUGCGGUUAACCGAAAGUUGUUCAGAGUCCUGGAUGAGAUCCCGGACGUCACGAGGAGUUUUGGAAUGGUCCGGAGGUAAAGAUUUAUAUAUGGGAAGUCCUAUUUUGGCCACCGGAAAAUGUUCGGGAUUUUUCGGUAUUGUACCGGAAAGGUUCUAGAAGGUUCCGAAGUGGGGCCCACCUGCAUGGGGGGACCCACAUGAACGUGGGUAGUGGGGGCAAGGCCCCACACCCCUGGUCAAGGCGCACCAAGAUCCCACCUUAGAAGGAAUAAGAUCAUAUCCCGAAGGGAUAAGAUCAAGAUCCCUAAAGAAUGGGGAUAACAAUCGGUGGGGAAGGGAAAUGAUGGGAUUUCUUUCCCCCACCUUUGCCAACGCCCCAAUGGACUUGGAGGGCAAGAAACCAGCCCCCUCCACCCCUAUAUAUAGUGGGGAGGCACAUGGGAGCAGCACCCCAAGCCCUGGCGCCUCCCUCCCUCCCGUGACACCUCUUCCUCCCCGCUUGCGCUUGGCGAAGCCUUGCCGGGAUCCCGCUACUUCCACCACCACACCGUCGUGCUGCUGGAUCUCCAUCAACUUCUCCUCCCCCCUUGCUGGAUCAAUAAGGAGGAGACGUCCCCGCUCCGUACGUGUGUUGAACGCGGAGGUGCCGUCUGUUCGGCGCUAGGAUCAUCUGUGAUUUGGAUCACGACGAGUAUGACUCCAUCAACCCCGUUCUCUUGAACGCUUCGAUCUACAAGGGUAUGUAGAUGCACUCCCCUCUCUCUCGUUGCUAGAUGACUCCAUAGAUUGAUCUUGGUGAUACGUAGAAAAUUUUAAAUUUCUGCUACGAUCCCCAACAGUACCAACAUUUGUUAUUUACGUGCGACACUGUGGUGCAUGAUCGACGUGCAUGUAUUUGUAUGGAUUUGAGAGUCCGGAUUUGAGAUAUGUGGAUGCACAGAAGGAAAUAUGAGGGCCCGUCCGGAUGCGCCUGUGGGCGUGCCGGGAUGCGUCCGCGGGCGUUUGAGGGGCCGGAUUUGCCAAAUCCGGUUGUAGAUUCCCUAAAAAUUCUUUAUAUCCUUUCCUGACGAGGCCCCGGUCUGAUUCGUUCAACGGCAAUGCCUUCACUUUUGGUGAGCCACCUUGAAGGUCCGCAAAGCUGCAUAUCAACGAUGGAGCCGCGUCGAGCUCGUGUGAGGAGGUGAUCCAUCAUUCUUUUCUUCGAUGGCUGAUGUGGUGGUGUCGGAGGCAGGUGACAGGUGUUGGUGUCAAGCUCAGAGAUGUUUUGCUAUCUUUUCACUUAUGUCAUGUUGGUCUUUACGUGACUUGUACUUUGUUUUUUAUGAUAUUUGAAUGAGACACGUACUACCAUAGAAAAAAAGAAGUUAACACACAAUUAGUUUGGCCAAAGAGAUCGCCUAAGCCCGGGCGCAAGCCAAACAGCGUGGCAGAUUAAAAAAACGACGUGCCAAAACAAUUGGUGUUUCAUCAAUCAACCUUUUCCGAUUUUAAAGGCGCCAUCCAAUUUUUGGCUCGUCGAUGGAUUAACACUUAUCACGCGUGUAUCUAUCGGCCCUCCCAAACUCCGCUCCCACCUCCCCCAUUAUCUGCAACAACCUCCGAUCCAACUGGCCUAGCCGGCUCGAACGCCGAUUCUCGACUCAUAUUCCAGGCGCCUUCUCACACGCGACCUUCUCCUCCAACGCCAGUCCCAUCGCCGCCGCCCUGUUCACCAGCUGUAAUGGAGCCGCCGUCCUCACCCACGGGAACGGAGCCGCCGGCGACCGCCCAUCCGGCCUGUGGAAUACAACGUCAUUGCUUGUUCUUCAUCCACACCUUGGAUUGAAGGUGAGAAUGCCGGCUCUUGUCAUCAGUUAGAACUAAGGCAACACAUGAGAUGAUUUGAAACCAAAGAAUGGAUCCCGCUUAUUCUGUGCAUGAACCCAUCAUGAGAUCUUAUGGGUUUUCUCUGAAUUUUGCUCCGUCCACAGCAUCGUGAUCUGCCUCUCUAUGCUCGUCGCCGGCGUCGAACUCUCUCCGUGGACACUUCACGCAGUCAACUCGAACGCCAACGCCACCCUCCUGACCGGGGUGAUCGGAGCCGCCAGCCACACCCAGCCACCCAGGGGAUCAGAGCCAGCGGCCACCACCCACCUGGCCUGUGCGAUACGACGGUACUGCUUCCUCUUCAUCCACCUAUUCGCAUCAUAGUUAGAACGCCUGGUAUUUUUACACCCCUUAGACAACAGUGAGGUCAAUAUAAUCCAAAACUUUGUAUAUAAAUAUCAAAUGGCAGAAUACAUACCACGUGUUGUUCACAUUAACGACAGUAGAGAAAAUUUAGUAAGUAAUCAUUAAUCACCGAUCAAUCUGUAUGGUAAACGUACACCUCUGGAGAGGUAGUAACAAAGAAGUAAUUAAAUUAAAUAGCUUAUCAUAGUAAUUUUGUGCUCUGUAAGAAACAGGUGGAACAAUUACAGUAUGGUACAACCCCAUAGCUUAUGUUUAUUCUCUGACUUGACCCAGUCUCUGUUUGUGCAUAUUUUCCAGGAAUGGCCAGUUCUCCUACAAGUUGUGCCGACACACAAUUACCAGACUUAACCAAUCAGGUAUAUUUUUUCCCAGUUAGGUUAAAAUCUUUGAAAACACAUAGUUCUUUUACCUUUACACGUAUUUCAGGCUUUUUUGGACGAACUCAGUGUGAAACAUGCAAAUAUGAGGUUAAUGUGCUCACCGAUAAGGUUCGCGCAAAUGAUUGAUGGAUUAGAUGACGAGCACCUAAAGGCCAUCUGCACUCAAACUGGUCUUGGAGGGCUAACAAAGAUGAAGUCAGUGUCUCUCCGACAUAUUAUGUUGGUGCUGCUAGCGAAGAGCUACAUCCACGACAUGCAGAGUAUUCACAUUGCUGGUAAGGACAUUUCUAUAACUCCAACGGAUGUCUAUCAAUUAAUGGACCUUCCAAUAGAGGGGAAAGAUAUAUAUAUGGAAAUGGGAAAACCGAAAGACACAAACCUGUUAAGGGCUUAUCAAACAGAUGGAAGACUUAAGCUGAGUGACCUCGAGGACAAAAUUAAAGCCUCCAAAACUCCAGAUGAUCAUUUCAUCAGGCGGUUUGUUUUGUAUGCUAUUGGCAUUAUUUUAGCACCCACGGUACAAGAUUAUGUCAACUCCAAAUAUUUCAUCCUUGUUGAAGACGUCGCAAGAAUUCCCAAUUUUAACUGGGGAUGUUUCACACUAAACCAUUUGAUAACAUCCAUCAAUACUUUUAAUUAUAAGGAUCAAGUCAAUCUACAAGGAAAUCUAGCUUUGCUCCAAGUAAGUGCUUCAACAGUAGUUGUCAUUCAACUAUUAUUCAUAUGAUGCAUAUAUCUCUAUCAUUGAUGAACUAAUAUUUCCUAUAGUUUUGGUAUUGGGAACAUGUUUGUGCUGGAUCGAUUUUGUAUUCUCGUAUACCCCGUCCGCUGAUGGCACGGUGGGAUGAAGCCACAGGUAAAAUAAGACAUGAGACUUAUGAUAAAGGAGGCCUAUAUAAUGGAUUGGUAGCUUUCUAGACUUGACUUCUAUAUUUACCAUAUUUAUUUCUUAGUACUGAUUCUUUAUAUCUUUUCAAAGGUUGUCAUGAACAUCGGCGGUCUGGAGCCAACCAACAUUACAAAUGACCAGCAUACCAACAAAGAUACACAUGCGCAUGAAGAUGCUAUCUAUCGACCAUAACCACGAGGUCAAACUAUGAGUAGCCAACAAGUAAGUUGCUCCAAGACACAUCCUUUUCAAUAACACAACAAAGGUCACACCUAACCAUACUUAUUUUUCUUCUAACAAAACGAGUUGACAUUUCUUUUAUGCAGAUGGACAUGAUACUUCAAACCCAGAACGAUCUAUUUGCAGAACAAGAGAAAAAGUUGGUCAAACAAGUAGUAGAAGUAGAGCACAAAUUAGAUAAAAGAAUAAUCACCGUGACCGAGGACGUGAUAAACAUAAGGGGUAAAAUUGCCACUCAACCUAGGUUGUCCAAGCUGGAGGACGAAGUUGGAGACCUCAAAAGGGAAGUUGGAGACCUCAAAAGGGAACUCCAGGUAAGUGAUACUACAACAUCAAUUUUACCCAUAACUUCCUAUAUUUUCAUUCUAUGCAUUUCAUGUUACAGGAAUUAAGAUCCCUAGUUGAAACAAACAAACAAUCAACGACGAACAAUGCAUACGUACGGGUGAUAACUAUGGCCCAUAACCUUGCUAACAUGAGCUAAUUUCUGUUCAUUGACCAACUCCUAAUUUUAGGAACAAGAGCAACCAAGCAAUGGCAAGUUUUCAUCAACUCCUGGGUUUGACGCAUGGAAAGCGCGGACUUCUGCUGGUACACCUAGUGCAAAACCUGUGGUGCAAAACGAGGAGUUGGACCAAGACAUCCCACCACGGAAGCCUGUAUUCAACAAUGAUUACAUAUUGAUAGAUGAAGACUACGAGGCCGCACUUUUCAUCCGAGGGAGUCACGACCUUGUUGAGGUAGUUCACAUCGAAGACAUUGUGCUAACAGUUCAUCAACUCAAGCCAAAUGUUAGCAAACUAUUCUUCGUCGAUGACGUAAGGCCCGUAUACUGCAAUCUACAUCAAGUAUUCUAAAUUGUGCCAUAUUACAUGACUACAAAUUUUGCAGGUUAUUAAUGCAUAUGCACACAUUAGCAAUGUUGCAACUGAUGCUACAUCAUUCAUUUCCACCGUAGAAAGCAGAAGAUUGCUAGGCGAAUUUGGGGGUAUUCCAAUGGGAUGCAAAAGCCCACAUGUUGCUAAUGUAGGAACGAAAUUUGUAGGACGCAAAAUGGUAUGCAUGUUUCCUGACUUGUUUAAUUGUAUAUCUUGAUUUUCCCUAAAUUGAGUCUGCUUUAAUUUCCUGGCAGGUACGUGUCCCAAUGAAUGUACACAACAUGCAUUGGUUAUUACUCGUGUUUAAUUUAGACAAAGAAGAGAUCCAUGUCCUAAACUCCAAUCAAGCAUAUCGUGACAUUGCCAAGGAAACUACACUAGUAAGCUUGCUCUCUUGCUGCCUCUUAGCAUCAUGUGACACUUUUUGAGAAGCACUAAUGCAAUCCCUUGAAUUACUCUUCAUACACCAGGUGGAGUCCAUUCAGGCGUGUAUCAACGAAGCGGUCGAGGAUGGCUUGGUAACACCGCCUAAACCCAUCAAUAUUACCCAGUGGAAAACCACUUGCUAUUCUAACAUACCACAACAGACGGAUGGGUACGUAUAGGCAGCUAUAUGAUUCCUCACCUAGACUACAAUACUUAACUUCAACUUUACAUCGCAUUUAUUCCUACGGGGCGCACACUCAAAUACAUGUUGACAUGGGAUGGAGACAAAAUUACCGAGGAUUUCACACAGGUCUGCGAAACACUAAAUUACAUUAGCAAUCAUGCACUACCUAUGCUUCACCGCUAUCCUAACCUAUGCGUCGCUAUCUAAUUCUGGCACUAAUACAUAUUUUCAGCUGGAAAAUAUGUUCAAGCCUGCUGCGUUCAGAUUGCAACAAGCUUCGGAAAAAAUCAUACAAGGAUCCUAUAACGGUAAGUUCUACACAACUAGCAUUUCAUGUCAUGUAGUUCCUACCUUUCAUGAUUGCAUGUAACACACCACUAUUUCCUCUACAGAAGGGUGAGUACAAAGCCAGCAUUCCAGAGGAACGAAAAGGUGCAGACGGCGAUGUCACGAUUGUCACCAACCCUGAUGUUACAAACAAACCAGAGACAUCCGGUGCCCCAAAGCGUAAACGUGGACGCCCGAGGAAGAAUGCCCCUCCUAGUAAUCCAGUGAAACAACAAUUUGACACAGAGACUAUCGCUAAACAAGUGGAGUUGAAAAGACGCAAGCGCAAACCAUCAAACGCCAUGUCCAGCCCAUUCGUAAAGCCAUGAAUGGGCUACACGGAGAGGCACUUCAAGGGCAGUUCCAAAUGAUGUUCUUUGAAUUAAAGACUACACUUAUGUUCUGAUGUUUUUGCAUAUUAUUUGUACGCUUAUGUCCAUCCAAAUGCUUGACUUUUCAUUGCUUUUUUUAUAAAAAAACCAGCUAAUGAGCUGCAUGUUCCACUUCUAUCAUUUGCACCAUCUGAUCCAAACCUAUCUGCAUCGGAGUAUGCUUACAUUUAAAACACUACCAUAAGUGACUACUUACAAACGCAUGCUCCCCAUUCUAUACGGCGCCAUACACUAAGUAAGUAUACAGUUCUGGUUUAAGUGGAUGAUGAUUAUGGCUGAGGCAGGGUAAUUAAGGAAAAAAAUCAUAGCAUAUAGAACAAAUGAGCAAUGAUGUAAAUAUCAUGGUUACACUGCUAUCCCUCACAUCACGAGUUGAGUGGGAGAUUAUUACCUCACCAGCAAAAAGAACAGAAUCAAUAAUGCAGCUAGCUUGAUGGAUUACUUCGGUCCGCUCCACAAGAAAAAUUUCAGGCUGCAGCACCAGUACUCAAUGCACACACAGAACCGUAUUGUCAAAUGCCAGCCUCUCCUGCAGAAAAUAAGAAAGAACAGCAUCAGGAACACCAUGUACCAUUUUUAUACUGAUAUAGACAUGUCGACAAGAGUUGGUACAUUGCAGCUUGUGUUUUGCAUCAAAACUAAUGCGAUCCAUGGAGCUAACAAAUUUACAACUAAUAAAUCUAGGCCUAAGUCUUUUGGGUAACAAUACUGAAACAGAUGUCCCAGCGAGCUUUACUCAAACAGAGUUCUGCUUACUAACUAGACACCUAGGACAACAAUGAGAACCAGGCAACCAGCAUAAGAUCAUCGAAGAAGAAACAUAUGCUAAACUUGCUCAUUGGCAAAAUAGGUUGUGCACGCGAACAUGACAGAGAUGACUAAAAUAGGGGCCAUACUUCUUCUGUUCCAUAUUUGUCGACAAUGAUUAUGGCCGAGGCAUGAUAAUGCACUUGUAGCAACGCGUGCAAAGCAGGCAAGAAAUUCACAUAAAGCAGCCAUUCUUCCAAAUUGAGCCAAUUCUGGUUUUCGAAGAAAUACUACAUGUAAUUACUGUCCAUUCUAUACGACGCCAUACACUGCCUAAAUAUAAAGAAAAUGGCCAUAGUCCAGUGGCAUAAUCAGAAGAACAUAACUCUUUUUCACAGCACAAAGGUUCUGAACCCAUCAACUUGCAAGUUAUAUUCCAAUAAAAUUUACCAUGUUCUGUAUUACCUACUGACUCUAAUCACUACCUACUGACUCCAAUCACUGUAAUGGAAAGCAGGGGGAAUAACUAUUGCUCCGAGAUAUGCAAUCCAAGAUUUUCCUUUCGUCAUCAAUCCUCCGGAUGAUUUCUGCCUCUUCCACAUAUCCUGUUGUUUCCCGGAUGUCAGGAACUUGCCGCUCCUCGCAGCGAGUUUCUGGCUGAACACCAUAACUAUCACGGUCCAUCUUUUGUAGGCGCUUUUGCAUCGAUCUCAUUUUACGUGGCAUCUUAAUCUUCUUCAUCGUGGCUGCCCACUGCAAGAGGUACAAUGUGGUGUAUCAGUACCAUGGAAGGCUUGAAAGGGGCGGAGAUGGCAUUACAAACUAGUUUCAAUCAGGUGGUUGAGAAAAACAAUCCAGAAACUGAUAUUACACUUGGAUACCAGACAAGUUUUACUUCACUUUCCCCUCAAUCAAAUCAUGAUAUUUGUGGACAUAGCUUACUAUUGGUCAAACAAAAGAAGGCAGGGACAUUUACGAACCUAAAGGUAGUCUUGGCAUCAACAAGUAGAAGUAGCUUUUACUUAACAUCGACUCAAAGAUCAACUCCAACAGUGAGGUUCAGAUCUACUUCAUUACAUAAAAAAGUUUAAGAUGUAGUUCAUUAUCUAAAAUAUUCAUAUGUUAGUAAACAAGAGCAUUCAGAUCAAGAUUGAUAGUUACCAAAUCGACAUAAUCUUGCAUACCAGGUUGAAGUCGGUUUCAUCUUCAAAAAUAUUAAAGCAUGUCGGAGAUGUCGUUCGCAGCAUCCUUAAGCCGAUUCAAACAUAGGUGUAGGUGACUGUUGCAUGAGAACGACGUCUCCGACACCUACACGCGGAAUGUGACUUUGAAUGUCUGAAUGGAACAAAUUCAGACAUUCAGUGAUGGCCGACUAUGUGGUUUACUGUCCACAUGCAAUGCAAAAGAGAGAACAAAGGAAUAAUGGGGUGAAAUACAGAAGUACAAAACCUGAAUAUUCUGACGGACAGAUAUCCUUGAAUGUCUGAAUUUGUUCCACUGUCGCCUACACGCGUGCGGAAUCAUCAGAGGCAGAUAGCGGCGCAGAGGGCUGGAGGGAUACUCGUCCUGCGCGGGAAGCUUGGCAGGAUAAGCAGCGACGGUUCUAGACACCGGACCUUCUCCGUCCUCGGCGGCGGCGGACGACUGUGUAGGAUAACGGGUCAGAGGAUGUGCAUGAAAAAACAGGGCCGUCCUCGGUGGCGGCGGCGGCGGAAGAUUAAGCCCCGGGGUUACCUUCAUAUGGAUUGGGUCACCGGCGUUGAUGGCCGUCAGUGGCUGCUCCAGGGAGAAGGUGCUGCCGUGCGGAGCGCCUAUUCGACGGGGCGAUGCUCGGGGCGCUGGGGCAGCAGAGGAGAGCAGGCGGCUGCGGCUGUGCGAGGGUCGGCGGCUGUGGCGGCACGAGCGACAGGAGGGACGCCGGCAGCGCCACGGUCGAGGGCAGGCUUGGCGGCGGCGCCUGUGCGAGGGGAUUGAGGUGGCUAACAAUCCGGCGAGGCCACUGAAGAUGCCGCCACCACGACCACCCGGAUCCUCCCGCGCUGGACGCUGAUCUGGGGAGCGGGGAGGAGAAGGCGCAGGAGAAGUGGCUGAGCCGGCGGCGGAGCGACCCGUGAGAGAAGGAGGCAAGCAGAGAUGCGAUCGACAGAUUGGGGACGAAGCGUUUCUUUUUUGCAGGUUUUCUUUUUCUUUUGUCCCAGCGCUGCAUCCUAAAUUGGACGGAUCUACCCUUUUAAAAAUUGAUUAGCCCCACCAUAAUCUUGUAAUGGUCCCACAAUUAUUUGUAAUUUCAUGUAAUUUUACUCCCGUAACUCCUCGUAACUCUUAUUUCUCCACCGUUUGAUCGGAGUGAAUGGACGGUCCCUAAAAUCGCCAAUCACUGUAACAGUUGUAAAACUGAGUAUGUAUUCUUUUCCAACACUAACA